Molecule: long non-coding RNA, 818 nt
Filed under: Capsicum annuum
Lineage: Eukaryota; Viridiplantae; Streptophyta; Magnoliopsida; Solanales; Solanaceae
Description: long non-coding RNA (CANN_LNC012283)
Source: RNAcentral
AUUGAUCCCCAAGAGAAAAAAACUAUCGAAGAAUUGAACUACAUGUCUGUCUUGCUAGCUCAGAGGAAAUCUGAGAUAGCUGUGUUACAAGCUCAAUUGCAACAGGCCUCUCAGAGCACAAGUACGGGACCAGGUGCGAUAGAGGACCUGCAGGCUGAAAACGCUCAGCUUAAGACUGAGAUAGCCGUGUUGCAAGCUCAAUCGCAACAGGCCUCUCAGGGCACAAGUACGGGACCAGGUGCCAUGGAGGAACUGCAGGCUGAAAAUGCUCAGCUUAAGGCUGAGAUAGCCCUGUUGGAAGCUCAAUCGCAACAGGCCUCUCAGGGCACAAGUACGGGACCAGGUGCGAUGGAGGAUCUGCAGGCUGAAAAUGCUCAGCUUAAGACUGAGAUAGCCGUGUCACAUGCACAAUUGCAACUGGCCUCUCAGGGCACAAGUACGGGACCAGGUGCGAAGGAGGACCUGCAGGCUGAAAACGCUCAACUUAAGUCUGAGAUGGCGGAUUUCAAGAAACACGUGGAGGACCUGAUUCAGCAAAUGCUAACUGAUCAACGUGCUGCCAUGAAACGACUUGACCGGCUUCUCUUCAAGCCCUAAUCCGACGACUGCUGUUGCCCUCUGCAUGUCGACUCAUGCUUCUAUAGCUUACCCAGAGGCAUAUUUAAGAUUUCGAGCAAAUGGUUGCACUAUUAUGAAAAGGAUGAAUAUAACAUACUAAUUUAAUCGAUUUGACCUUGAGGUUCUUAUAAAAAAAAAGAAUAAUAAUAAUGAUCACCAAACAUAAACAAUGGACCAAAAUUUGGACAAUUUUUUUUUUU